Molecule: ribosomal RNA, 332 nt
Filed under: uncultured Planctomycetota bacterium
Lineage: Bacteria; Pseudomonadati; Planctomycetota
Description: bacterial SSU rRNA
Rfam family: Bacterial small subunit ribosomal RNA
Source: RNAcentral
UUUGUAGGCGGCCUUGUAAGUGGGGUGUGAAAUCCCUCGGCUCAACCGAGGAAUAGCGCUCCAAACUACAUGGCUUGAGGGAGACAGGGGUAAGCGGAACUGAUGGUGGAGCGGUGAAAUGCGUUGAUAUCAUCAGGAACACCGGUGGCGAAAGCGGCUUACUGGGUCUCUUCUGACGCUGAGAAACGAAAGCUAGGGUAGCGAACGGGAUUAGAUACCCCGGUAGUCCUAGCUGUAAACGAUGAGCACUUGGUUGGGGAUCCUCCCAUAGGUUCUCGACCGUAGCGAAAGUGUUAAGUGCUCCGCCUGGGGAGUAUGGUCGCAAGGCUGAA